This 114-nucleotide small nuclear RNA is filed under the name Suricata suricatta (meerkat). Lineage: Eukaryota; Metazoa; Chordata; Mammalia; Carnivora; Herpestidae. The record is from RNAcentral.
GUGCUCGCUUCGGCAGCACAUAUACUAAAAUUGGAAUGAUACAGAGAAGAUUAGCAUGGCCCCUGCACAAAGAAAAUAUCCAUAGCAAAGUGAGUCUGGGACUCCUAUGUAUUU